CCUGGCCUCAAGUCUUGGCAUCCUGGCCUCCUGCAUUGGCACCCUAAAGUGCCGGGAUUACAGGCAUGAGUCAUCAUGCCCAGCCCAUAUAUGCUUUCAUGUAAUCUUAACUACCACCCAAUAUAGUAGAACUUAUUUAAAUUUUAUUGCCAGAGAAACAGAAACUCAGAGAACUUAAGUUAUUUUCCCAAGACCAUAGUAAGUACCAGAGCUAGAAGUUGAACUCAGAAUAGCUGUUUCUGAAACCUUUUCUUAUUUUAAUAUAGUAAAUGAUAAUGGUUUGUUUAUUUAACAACUGCUAAGCUCUUUGGGAGCUAUUAUUAUAGGAAAAAUGACACUGUUAUCAAUAGAGAACAUAUGCAUGUGAUUUUGGUGAGUGGAGAUGAUGAAGAAGAUGGAGGUGAUCCAAGAUGUGUGAAACACCGACUUUGCCGAAUUAAGCCUGGCAAGCUCUGGAGGCUGGGACCUCCAAGAUCAAGGCACUGGCAGAUUUGGUAUCUGCUCCAACAUUAUGGUUGCUCAGUUUCUUCAGAAAGCAACUCAUGGAGAAGUACAAACCACAGUUAGAAAGUUGAGAGAUUUCAAUGAGAAGCACAGGACCUUUAAGUCACAUGGUUACCUUCAGAAUGCACUCACCAAUUGGUACAGUUAUGAAACCUCUAGAAGUCAUCCAUUCUUGUAUAGACUUACUCUCCUGGCAUGUCUACUUGCUAUGAAACAGCUGUUUAGUCAUGUUGCCAAGAAGAAAAGAAGACAGAAUGCC
Molecule: long non-coding RNA, 763 nt
Organism: Homo sapiens (human)
Lineage: Eukaryota; Metazoa; Chordata; Mammalia; Primates; Hominidae
Product: long intergenic non-protein coding RNA 2499
Source: Ensembl